AUACCUUUCUCGGCCUUUUGGCUAAGAUCAAGUGUAGUAUCUGUUCUUAUCAGUUUAAUAUCUGAUACGUGGGCCAAUGGCCCACACGAUAUUAAAUAUAUUUUUUGAGGAGGAGGGUACAUAACAGUAGCUUGCUAUUGGGACUCUCGAGCGUCGCCCAAGUGUUGCACUAUUUUGCUCGGGCCUGGCGCACUCGCC
This 198-nucleotide small nuclear RNA is filed under the name Gossypium hirsutum (cotton). Its description in RNAcentral is "U2 spliceosomal RNA". It matches the Rfam family "U2 spliceosomal RNA". Rfam says of the family: U2 is a small nuclear RNA (snRNA) component of the spliceosome (involved in pre-mRNA splicing). Complementary binding between U2 snRNA (in an area lying towards the 5' end but 3' to hairpin I) and the branchpoint sequence (BPS) of the intron results the bulging out of an unpaired adenosine, on the BPS, which initiates a nucleophilic attack at the intronic 5' splice site, thus starting the first of two transesterification reactions that mediate splicing. The record is from Rfam by way of RNAcentral. Lineage: Eukaryota; Viridiplantae; Streptophyta; Magnoliopsida; Malvales; Malvaceae.